UACAACUCAUAGUUUACU
Molecule: small nuclear RNA, 18 nt
Filed under: Arabidopsis thaliana (thale cress)
Lineage: Eukaryota; Viridiplantae; Streptophyta; Magnoliopsida; Brassicales; Brassicaceae
Description: snRNA_07034
Source: RNAcentral